UCUGUUUGGCAGCUUUUUGGGAAGUUUGGUGUCUCGUGUCCUCUCCGUGGCCCUUCAGGAGCACCUUAAGAGUGUCUGGUCACCUCUCGUGCCCUUCAGGAGCUCCUUAGAGUGUGUCACCUCUUGUGCCCUUUCAGGAGCACCGUAGUGUCUGUCACCCCUAUAUAGUUUGAUUUAUUGAUGAUUAUGCAAGACCAUCCAUCUUCAUGUAGUAGUCAUGUCUGCAAUGGGUCCACAUUUGGUCAUGCUAAAUAGUUUCAACAUGAGAACAAAUUUGCAAUGUUUCACCAUGGCAACAUGUGAUGCAACAUGUCAUACAAACUUGCAGGACUCCGCCCACUCUUCUGGUUGAGAUGGCUAACCCUAGCCCUAACCCUAGAUGACACAUUUGACUUCUUUAUUUGAAUUUGAUGAAUAAGUACAUAUCAUUAUUAGAGGAAGUAUUAAAUUGCAGAUAAAGUCUCAGUCCAUAAUGUACAUUAAGGGUGAAGAUGACACCUGCGCCUCCAGAUGAAGAGGUUACCAAUUAGUGCUGAUUUAAAGCAGUACUUUGAGAAGUGUUUAGUGUUUAGUGUUGAUAUAGAUCAGUACUUUGAGAAGUGUUUAGUGCUGAUUUAAGGGAGUACUUUGUGAAGUGUUUAGUGCUGAUAUAGAGCAGUACUUUGAGAAGUGUUUAGUGUUGAUAUAGAGCAGUACUUUGAGAAGUGUUUAGUGUUGAUAUACAGCAGUACUUUGAGAAGUGUUUAGUGCUGAUAUACAGCAGUACUUUGAGAAGUGUUUAGUGUUGAGCAGUACUUUGAGAAGUGUUUAGUGUUUAGUGUUGAUUUAAGGCAGUACGUUGUGAAGUGUUUAGUGCUGAUAUAGAGCAGUACUUUGAGAAGUGUUUAGUGUUGAUUUAAGGCAGUACUUUGAGAAGUGUUUAGUGUUGAUUUAAAGCAGUACUUUGAGAAAUGUUUAGUGUUGAUUUAAAGCAGUACUUUGAGAAGUGUGUGUUGUUGAUUUAAGGCAGUACUUUGAGAAGUGUUUAGUGUUGAUUUAAGGCAGUACUUUGGGAAGUGUCUAGUGUUGAUAUAGAGCAGUACUUUGAGAAGUGUUUAGUGUUUAGUGUUGAUAUAGAGCAGUACUUUGAGAAGUGUUUAGUGUUGAUAUAGAGCAGUACUUUGAGAAGUGUUUAGUGCUGAUAUAGAUCAGUACUUUGAGAAGUGUUUAGUGUGUUUAGUGCUGAUAUAGAUCAGUACUUUAUGAAGUGUUUAGUGUUUAGUGCUGAUAUAGAUCAGUACUUUGAGAAGUGUUUAGUGUUGAUAUAGAGCAGUACUUUGAGAAGUGUUUAGUGUUGAUUUAAAGCAGUACUUUGAGAAGUGUUUAGUGCUGAUAUAGAGCAGUACUUUGAGAAGUGUUUGGUGCUGAUUUAAAGCAGUACUUUGGGAAGUGUGUGUGUGUGUGUUUAGUGUUGAUAUAGAGCAGUACUUUGGGAAGUGUUUAGUGCUGAUAUAGAUCAGUACUUUGGGAAGUGUUUAGUGCUGAUAUAGAGCAGUACUUUGAGAAGUGUUUAGUGCUGAUAUGAAGCAGUACUUUGAGAAGUGUUUAGUGUUGAUAUAGAUCAGUACUUUGAGGAGUGUUUAGUGCUGAUUUAAAGCAGUACUUUGAGAAGUGUUUAGUGUUGAUAUAGAGCAGUACUUUGUGAAGUGUUUAGUGUUGAUAUAGAGCAGUACUUUGAGAAUGUUUAGUGCUGAUAUAGAGCAGUACUUUGAGAAGUGUUUAGUGCUGAUAUAGAGCAGUACUUUGAGAAGUGUUUAGUGCUGAUAUAAAGCAGUACUUUGAGAAGUGUUGUGCUGAUUUAAAGCAGUACUUUGAGAAGUGUUUAGUGCUGAUAUAGAGCAGUACUUUGAGAAGUGUUUAGUGUUGAUAUAGAGCAGUACUUUGAGAAGUGUUUAGUGUUGAUUUAAAGCAGUACUUUGGGAAGUGUUUAGUGCUGAUUUAAAGCAGUACUUUGAUAAGUGUUUAGUGUUGAUAUAGAGCAGUACUUUGAGAAGUGUUUAGUGCUGAUAUAGAUCAGUACUUUGAGAAGUGUUUAGUGCUGAUAUAGAGCAGUACUUUGUGAAGUGUUUGGCCCUUUUCUUAGAGUCCUCAGAUAUGCAGGCCUCACACACACAUUUUAUGCACAUGACCUAAGCUACCAAAGAUCAGGGCAACGAGUAGCCAUAGUUGUUUAAAACAUUAUUUAAGGGUUGGUAUUUUAACAGUUUUGACGCAUAGCAGGUGUCCAUGUAAGCGCCAUAAGAGCAACCAAUUUCAAUUAUUGUGAUCGCUUUGUUGUAUUCAUCAAUUAUCACAAAGUCUGGUGUA
This is a long non-coding RNA of Clupea harengus (Atlantic herring), 2346 nucleotides long. The record is from Ensembl. NCBI's taxonomy places the organism in Eukaryota, Metazoa, Chordata, Actinopteri, Clupeiformes, Clupeidae.